This 484-nucleotide ribosomal RNA is filed under the name uncultured bacterium. Its description in RNAcentral is "partial 16S ribosomal RNA". It matches the Rfam family "Bacterial small subunit ribosomal RNA", at positions 30 to 507 of the family's 1533-position model. The record is from RNAcentral.
AUUGAACGCUGGCGGCAGGCCUAACACAUGCAAGUCGAGCGGAUGAAGGGAGCUUGCUCCUGGAUUCAGCGGCGGACGGGUGAGUAAUGCCUAGGAAUCUGCCUGGUAGUGGGGGAUAACGUCCGGAAACGGGCGCUAAUACCGCAUACGUCCUGAGGGAGAAAGUGGGGGAUCUUCGGACCUCACGCUAUCAGAUGAGCCUAGGUCGGAUUAGCUAGUUGGUGGGGUAAAGGCCUACCAAGGCGACGAUCCGUAACUGGUCUGAGAGGGUGAUCAGUCACACUGGAACUGAGACACGGUCCAGACUCCUACGGGAGGCAGCAGUGGGGAAUAUUGGACAAUGGGCGAAAGCCUGAUCCAGCCAUGCCGCGUGUGUGAAGAAGGUCUUCGGAUUGUAAAGCACUUUAAGUUGGGAGGAAGGGCAGUAAGUUAAUACCUUGCUGUUUUGACGUUACCAACAGAAUAAGCACCGGCUAACUUCGUG